RNAcentral lists this ribosomal RNA (2515 nucleotides) under Mesorhizobium sp. RNAcentral describes it as "partial 23S ribosomal RNA". It matches the Rfam family "Bacterial large subunit ribosomal RNA", at positions 441 to 2925 of the family's 2925-position model. Lineage: Bacteria; Pseudomonadati; Pseudomonadota; Alphaproteobacteria; Hyphomicrobiales; Phyllobacteriaceae. The record is from RNAcentral.
AAUAUGGGGGGACCAUCCUCCAAGGCUAAAUACUACUGACUGACCGAUAGUGAACCAGUACCGUGAGGGAAAGGCGAAAAGAACCCCGGAGAGGGGAGUGAAAUAGAUCCUGAAACCGUAUGCGUACAAGCAGUGGGAGCCCACUUUGUUGGGUGACUGCGUACCUUUUGUAUAAUGGGUCAGCGACUUAUUUUCAGUGGCGAGCUUAACCGAAUAGGGGAGGCGUAGCGAAAGCGAGUCUUAAUAGGGCGUCUAGUCGCUGGGAAUAGACCCGAAACCGGGCGAUCUAUCCAUGGGCAGGUUGAAGGUUAGGUAACACUGACUGGAGGACCGAACCGACUACCGUUGAAAAGUUAGCGGAUGACCUGUGGAUCGGAGUGAAAGGCUAAUCAAGCUCGGAGAUAGCUGGUUCUCCUCGAAAGCUAUUUAGGUAGCGCCUCAUGUAUCACUGUAGGGGGUAGAGCACUGUUUCGGCUAGGGGGUCAUCCCGACUUACCAAACCGAUGCAAACUCCGAAUACCUACAAGUGCCGAGCAUGGGAGACACACGGCGGGUGCUAACGUCCGUCGUGAAAAGGGAAACAACCCAGACCGUCAGCUAAGGUCCCAAAGUUAUGGUUAAGUGGGAAACGAUGUGGGAAGGCUUAGACAGCUAGGAGGUUGGCUUAGAAGCAGCCACCCUUUAAAGAAAGCGUAAUAGCUCACUAGUCGAGUCGGCCUGCGCGGAAGAUGUAACGGGGCUCAAACCAUACACCGAAGCUACGGGUAUCACGUAAGUGAUGCGGUAGAGGAGCGUUCUGUAAGCCUGUGAAGGUGAGUUGAGAAGCUUGCUGGAGGUAUCAGAAGUGCGAAUGCUGACAUGAGUAACGACAAUGGGUGUGAAAAACACCCACGCCGAAAGACCAAGGUUUCCUGCGCAACGUUAAUCGACGCAGGGUUAGUCGGUCCCUAAGGCGAGGCUGAAAAGCGUAGUCGAUGGAAAACAGGUUAAUAUUCCUGUACUUCUGGUUAUUGCGAUGGAGGGACGGAGAAGGCUAGGCCAGCUUGGCGUUGGUUGUCCAAGUUUAAGGUGGUAGGCUGAAAUCUUAGGUAAAUCCGGGGUUUCAAGGCCGAGAGCUGAUGACGAGUUACCCUCUGGGUGACGAAGUGGUUGAUGCCAUGCUUCCAAGAAAAGCUUCUAAGCUUCAGAUAACCAGGAACCGUACCCCAAACCGACACAGGUGGUUGGGUAGAGAAUACCAAGGCGCUUGAGAGAACUCGGGUGAAGGAACUAGGCAAAAUGGCACCGUAACUUCGGGAGAAGGUGCGCCGGUGAGGGUGAAGCACUUGCUGCGUAAGCCCACGCCGGUCGAAGAUACCAGGCCGCUGCGACUGUUUAUUAAAAACACAGCACUCUGCAAACACGAAAGUGGACGUAUAGGGUGUGACGCCUGCCCGGUGCCGGAAGGUUAAUUGAUGGGGUUAGCUAACGCGAAGCUCUUGAUCGAAGCCCCGGUAAACGGCGGCCGUAACUAUAACGGUCCUAAGGUAGCGAAAUUCCUUGUCGGGUAAGUUCCGACCUGCACGAAUGGCGUAACGAUGGCGGCGCUGUCUCCACCCGAGACUCAGUGAAAUUGAAAUCGCUGUGAAGAUGCAGUGUAUCCGCGGCUAGACGGAAAGACCCCGUGAACCUUUACUAUAGCUUUGCACUGGACUUUGAAUUUGCUUGUGUAGGAUAGGUGGGAGGCUUUGAAGCGUGGACGCCAGUCUGCGUGGAGCCAUCCUUGAAAUACCACCCUGGCAACUUUGAGGUUCUAACUCAGGUCCGUUAUCCGGAUCGAGGACAGUGUAUGGUGGGUAGUUUGACUGGGGCGGUCUCCUCCUAAAGAGUAACGGAGGAGUACGAAGGUGCGCUCAGACCGGUCGGAAAUCGGUCGUAGAGUAUAAAGGCAAAAGCGCGCUUGACUGCGAGACAGACACGUCGAGCAGGUACGAAAGUAGGUCUUAGUGAUCCGGUGGUUCUGUAUGGAAGGGCCAUCGCUCAACGGAUAAAAGGUACUCCGGGGAUAACAGGCUGAUACCGCCCAAGAGUUCAUAUCGACGGCGGUGUUUGGCACCUCGAUGUCGGCUCAUCACAUCCUGGGGCUGAAGCCGGUCCCAAGGGUAUGGCUGUUCGCCAUUUAAAGUGGUACGCGAGCUGGGUUUAGAACGUCGUGAGACAGUUCGGUCCCUAUCUGCCGUGGACGUUUGAGAUUUGAGAGGGGCUGCUCCUAGUACGAGAGGACCGGAGUGGACGAACCUCUGGUGUUCCGGUUGUCACGCCAGUGGCAUUGCCGGGUAGCUAUGUUCGGAAAAGAUAACCGCUGAAAGCAUCUAAGCGGGAAACUUGCCUCAAGAUGAGAUCUCACUGGAGCCUUGAGCUCCCUGAAGGGCCGUCGAAGACUACGACGUUGAUAGGCAGGGUGUGUAAGCGCUGUGAGGCGUUGAGCUAACCUGUACUAAUUGCCCGUGAGGCUUGACCAUAUAACACCCAAGCA